This 253-nucleotide ribosomal RNA is filed under the name uncultured bacterium. RNAcentral describes it as "partial 16S ribosomal RNA". It matches the Rfam family "Bacterial small subunit ribosomal RNA", at positions 524 to 776 of the family's 1533-position model. The record is from RNAcentral.
UACAGAGGUCUCAAGCGUUGUUCGGAAUCACUGGGCGUAAAGCGUGCGUAGGCUGUUUCGUAAGUCGUGUGUGAAAGGCGCGGGUUCAACCCGCGGACGGCACAUGAUACUGCGAGACUAGAGUAAUGGAGGGGGAACCGGAAUUCUCGGUGUAGCAGUGAAAUGCGUAGAUAUCGAGAGGAACACUCGUGGCGAAGGCGGGUUCCUGGACAUUAACUGACGCUGAGGCACGAAGGCCAGGGGAGCGAAAGGG